AUGAUUAUUGAGGCAGG
Molecule: unclassified non-coding RNA, 17 nt
Filed under: Mus musculus (house mouse)
Lineage: Eukaryota; Metazoa; Chordata; Mammalia; Rodentia; Muridae
Description: oocyte_clustered_small_RNA11614
Source: RNAcentral